CGGGGUGUAGCACAGCUUGGUAGUGCGCAUCGUUCGGGACGAUGAGGUCGCAGGUUCGAAUCCUGUCACCCCGA
RNAcentral lists this transfer RNA (74 nucleotides) under Lachnospiraceae bacterium. RNAcentral's name for it is "tRNA-Pro". It matches the Rfam family "tRNA". From Rfam's summary of the family: Transfer RNA (tRNA) molecules are approximately 80 nucleotides in length. Their secondary structure includes four short double-helical elements and three loops (D, anti-codon, and T loops). Lineage: Bacteria; Bacillati; Bacillota; Clostridia; Lachnospirales; Lachnospiraceae. RNAcentral also lists the same sequence under 26 other names. The record is from RNAcentral.